This 496-nucleotide ribosomal RNA is filed under the name uncultured bacterium. RNAcentral's name for it is "partial 16S ribosomal RNA". It matches the Rfam family "Bacterial small subunit ribosomal RNA", at positions 28 to 507 of the family's 1533-position model. The record is from RNAcentral.
GAUGAACGCUGGCGGCGUGCCUAAUACAUGCAAGUCGAGCGAACAGACGAGGAGCUUGCUCCUUCGACGUUAGCGGCGGACGGGUGAGUAACACGUAGGUAACCUACCUAUAAGACUGGGAUAACUUCGGAAACCGGAGCUAAUACCGGAUAAUAUUUCGAACCGCAUGGUUCGAUAGUGAAAGAUGGCUUUGCUAUCACUUAUAGAUGGACCUGCGCCGUAUUAGCUAGUUGGUAAGGUAACGGCUUACCAAGGCAACGAUACGUAGCCGACCUGAGAGGGUGAUCGGCCACACUGGAACUGAGACACGGUCCAGACUCCUACGGGAGGCAGCAGUAGGGAAUCUUCCGCAAUGGGCGAAAGCCUGACGGAGCAACGCCGCGUGAGUGAUGAAGGUCUUCGGAUCGUAAAACUCUGUUAUUAGGGAAGAACAAACGUGUAAGUAACUGUGCACGUCUUGACGGUACCUAAUCAGAAAGCCACGGCUAACUACGUG